UGGGGAAUUUUGGACAAUGGGCGCAAGCCUGAUCCAGCCAUGCCGCGUGCGGGAAGAAGGCCUUCGGGUUGUAAACCGCUUUUGUCAGGGAAGAAAAGCUUCGGACUAAUACUUUGGAGUAAUGACGGUACCUGAAGAAUAAGCACCGGCUAACUACGUGCCAGCAGCCGCGGUAAUACGUAGGGUGCAAGCGUUAAUCGGAAUUACUGGGCGUAAAGCGUGCGCAGGCGGUCUUGUAAGACAGAGGUGAAAUCCCCGGGCUCAACCUGGGAACUGCCUUUGUGACUGCAAGGCUUGAGUACGGUAGAGGGGGAUGGAAUUCCGCGUGUAGCAGUGAAAUGCGUAGAUAUGCGGAGGAACACCGAUGGCGAAGGCAAUCCCCUGGACCUGUACUGACGCUCAUGCACGAAAGCGUGGGGAGCAAACAGG
This 429-nucleotide ribosomal RNA is filed under the name uncultured bacterium. RNAcentral's name for it is "bacterial SSU rRNA". It matches the Rfam family "Bacterial small subunit ribosomal RNA", at positions 355 to 776 of the family's 1533-position model. The record is from RNAcentral.